CGCCGAACAAACUUCCAAGCGAAACGAAAACGCGCUGGACCCGGAAAAUUAAACUCCCGGACGAGCGCGGAUGUGGGUGGAAAACUUGGUGAAAGGGCUGGCUGCCAUUGGCCUGAAAAUUGUUUAAUUACGCCUCGCGUACUUAAAUUGUAAUGGCGCUGACCUAAUUGAGUAAUAAUUAAAAUUAAGUGCAUGCUAAAUUGUUAUUAAUUAUUCAAGUGUUCACAAAGAUUCAGCCAGGAACCCGCCCCGAAACCAGGACCCCAGGACCAGUAACUUCAUCGAUUGCGUUUUUCUUCACCCAAAAAUAAUGGGGAAGAGAAGGAUACUUUGUUGCAAGUGUCGCCAAUUGGCAAACUGCUGCACUGACAGUUAUGGCUCCACACAGACAAAUUAGAAUUGCAUUUUCACUGGGGAGGAAGUGCUCGGUCAUAAUUGUUUGCCAGAAUGCGAAAUAAAUGGGCAGAACUCUCCACAAACGCGC
Molecule: long non-coding RNA, 484 nt
Filed under: Drosophila guanche
Lineage: Eukaryota; Metazoa; Arthropoda; Insecta; Diptera; Drosophilidae
Source: RNAcentral